Molecule: ribosomal RNA, 329 nt
Filed under: uncultured eukaryote
Lineage: Eukaryota
Description: partial 18S ribosomal RNA
Rfam family: Eukaryotic small subunit ribosomal RNA
Source: RNAcentral
CCCUUAGAUGUUCUGGGCCGCACGCGCGCUACACUGAUGCAUUCAACGAGUCUAAAACCUGCUCUGAUAGGGGUGGGUAAUCUUUUGAAUGUGCAUCGUGAUUGGGAUAGAUGAUUGCAAUUUUUCAUCUUCAACGAGGAAUGCCUAGUAAACGCAAGUCAUCAACUUGCAUUGAUUACGUCCCUGCCCUUUGUACACACCGCCCGUCGCUCCUACCGAUUGAAUGAUCCGAUGAAUAUCAUGGAUUGAGGAUUAUAGCAGGUUCGCCUGUCUUGAUCUUCGAGAAGUGAAGUAAAUCUUAUCAUUUAGAGGAAGGAGAAGUCGUAACA